GAUGAAGAACGCAGCGAAAUGCGAUACGUAGUGUGAAUUGCAGAAUCCAGUGAAUCAUCGAAUCUUUGAACGCACAUUGCGCCCGCGAGUAUUCUCGCGGGCAUGCCUGUCCGAGCGUCAUUUCAACCCUCAGGGCCCGCCUGCUUCGGCAGGCGCGGCGCUGGUGUUGGGGAUCGGCCUAACCGCCGUCCCCCAAAUACAGUGGCGGUCUCGCUGCAGCCUCCCCUGCGUAGUAGCAACACUCGCAUGCGGAGCGCGGCGCGGCCACGCCGUAAAACCCCCGACUUUCUGAACGUUGACCUCGGAUCAGGUAGGAAUACCCGCUGAACUUAAGCAUAUCAAUAAGCGGAGGA
RNAcentral lists this unclassified non-coding RNA (353 nucleotides) under soil metagenome. Its description in RNAcentral is "partial contains 5.8S ribosomal RNA, internal transcribed spacer 2, and large subunit ribosomal RNA". The stretch from base 1 to 120 matches the Rfam family "5.8S ribosomal RNA", at positions 35 to 154 of the family's 154-position model. The record is from RNAcentral.